CCUACGGGGGGCAGCAGUGGGGAAUAUUGCACAAUGGGCGCAAGCCUGAUGCAGCCAUGCCGCGUGUGUGAAGAAGGCCUUCGGGUUGUAAAGCACUUUCAGCGGGGAGGAAGGCGGUGAGGUUAAUAACCUCAUCGAUUGACGUUACCCGCAGAAGAAGCACCGGCUAACUCCGUGCCAGCAGCCGCGGUAAUACGGAGGGUGCAAGCGUUAAUCGGAAUUACUGGGCGUAAAGCGUACGCAGGCGGUCUGUCAAGUCGGAUGUGAAAUCCCCGGGCUCAACCUGGGAACUGCAUUCGAAACUGGCAGGCUAGAGUCUUGUAGAGGGGGGUAGAAUUCCAGGUGUAGCGGUGAAAUGCGUAGAGAUCUGGAGGAAUACCGGUGGCGAAGGCGGCCCCCUGGACAAAGACUGACGCUCAGGUGCGAAAGCGUGGGGAGCAAACAGGAUUAGAUACCCGGGUAGUC
This 465-nucleotide ribosomal RNA is filed under the name uncultured Klebsiella sp. RNAcentral's name for it is "bacterial SSU rRNA". It matches the Rfam family "Bacterial small subunit ribosomal RNA", at positions 338 to 795 of the family's 1533-position model. Lineage: Bacteria; Pseudomonadati; Pseudomonadota; Gammaproteobacteria; Enterobacterales; Enterobacteriaceae. The record is from RNAcentral.